This 253-nucleotide ribosomal RNA is filed under the name uncultured bacterium. RNAcentral's name for it is "partial 16S ribosomal RNA". It matches the Rfam family "Bacterial small subunit ribosomal RNA", at positions 524 to 776 of the family's 1533-position model. The record is from RNAcentral.
UGCGGAGGGUGCAAGCGUUAUCCGGAUUCACUGGGUUUAAAGGGUGCGUAGGUGGGUCUGUAAGUCCGUGGUGAAAUCUCCGAGCUUAACUUGGAAACUGCCAUGGAUACUAUAGGUCUUGAAUACUGUGGAGGUCAGCGGAAUAUGUCAUGUAGCGGUGAAAUGCUUAGAUAUGACAUAGAACACCAAUUGCGAAGGCAGCUGGCUACACAAAUAUUGACACUGAUGCACGAAAGCGUGGGGAUCAAACAGG